Molecule: long non-coding RNA, 1754 nt
Organism: Capsicum annuum
Lineage: Eukaryota; Viridiplantae; Streptophyta; Magnoliopsida; Solanales; Solanaceae
Exons: 5
Source: RefSeq, a predicted model, not a curated record
CAUAGAGUCGGUUAUUGCAACACUUCAUUGGAAAAAAAAACUUUUAAUACGAUUUAUAUAUUCUUAUCACAAAAUUCUAAGGUCAGCCAAAAAUAAACCCUUUUACAAUCCUGUUAACAUAUAAUUCCACAACCAUGCCCGCCACUACUAUUGCUCAAACUAAGUUUGAUCUGCCGUUGCUACAACCACCAUACUUCGACCACCAUACCGCUACUCUGACCACUAUUUUACGACCAUCAUACCACUGCUCCGACAACCGUAUCACUACUCCGACAACCGUACCUCAAUUUCAAAGCUGCUCUAAAAUCCCUUCCCAACUCAGAACACUUCAAGAAGCCAAAAAGUGCGACCACCGUACGUCGAUUUCAAAGCUGCUCCAACUUCAACUCCUCCACUGCUCCGACAACCACUUCAAUUUCACUUCAAUUUUGAGAAAAUUUGGGCUUUUGUUCUUUAAUUGGGGGAUUUUAAGGCAUUUUCAUAAGUUGCUCGGUAAGCUCAAUGUUGACAACCUCAAUGUCGAUGCUCGGCUCUUCAUUAUUGGUUUUAUGGGAGGAACAGUGACACAAGUAAAUCUUGAAUGUUUACCAAGACUCCUGACAGUGCAGGUGAACUUGUGUGACCAAAUACUCGAACAAGAAUGCUGUUAGUUAAUUGGAAGAGAGACAUGCAGUAGUAUCGUCUGUGUUGGAGUUAAUCAGAAGGAGAACAUGCUGAGCAACCAGUUGGUGUGGUGAAGAAAUCAGCUACGAAUGCAUUGCGUUGUGUUGAGAAGUGGAUGGCCCCUCAAAAGGGCCAGCUUCUGGUUAUAAAAGUGCAUCUAACAGGGGAUCUGAAAGUGCAAAGGUUAAUGCUGCAUCGAGUAAGCAGCAUGUGUCACAUGCUUUUUCCAGUCAAUUCUCUCAAGUACACCCAGUAAGAAACUGUCUUUCGUGUUUAGAAGGUGUUCAAUAGGGAUUCUUUUCUGUGGGUUGAUUUAUUAGUUUUAUUCUAAUUUCAAGUAUGCUUGGUACUUAUUGGGGAAAUUUGAACUUGAAUCUUUUCUUCACCUCUUCAUGGUGUUGUGGCUCAUGCAUCUGUGAUUUUUUAUGUGAAUCCUUUUAUAGGGUAAAGUUACUCAAGCUAUAGGAAGCAUUAUUCAUGGGAAGGCUUUGUCUAAUCAUGGUCAGCUGAAGGCUCCUCUUCCAUCUAAAAUUGACUUGUCUAAUCUCAGAUUAGGUGCUCAUGAGUGCACUAAUACAGAGCGAUAAAGUCAGGCCAAAGUUUCUUAAUGGAAUAGCCCCAAGUGAUGGGAAGGUGAGUCCUGAUACAUUGACAGAACAGAAUCGAUGACCUCGAAUUGACAAAAUGAAAAGGCAACUGGUUGUAAAGACCUACACUACAAGAGCAGGAAAUGUUGAUAUGCAAGGCAAUGUAGUUCACGCUGAGGAAGUAUAAUAGAGGUGAUUUUCUGAUGGACUUCGUCAAUAACAAGUUUUUUGUGAUCAAAUCGUCCAACGAGGAUGUUCUGCAAGUGGGCCGUUUUGUGGUGUCACUGAAAUGACUGGUCCUGUGGACUUCUACAAGGACAUGGAUUUUUGGCAGCAAGAUAAGUGGAGUGGUAGCUUCAGUUACUUAUAGCCAAUUGAACUUGAUACUAUGUGGGAAAAGUAAUAAUUAUUUGACUUAAAUAUUUUGCUUUUCAGUUUAGAUUAUAGUUUGUUGUAUAUUUGAAUUUGGAUUAUUAUUAAUGAAAGAUUUUGUUGUGAUUUGUA